UACGUAGGGCGCAAGCGUUAUCCGGAAUUAUUGGGCGUAAAGAGCUCGUAGGCGGUUUGUCGCGUCUGCCGUGAAAGUCCGGGGCUUAACUCCGGAUCUGCGGUGGGUACGGGCAGACUUGAGUGAUGUAGGGGAGACUGGAAUUCCUGGUGUAGCGGUGAAAUGCGCAGAUAUCAGGAAGAACACCGAUGGCGAAGGCAGGUCUCUGGGCAUUAACUGACGCUGAGGAGCGAAAGCAUGGGGAGCGAACAGG
Molecule: ribosomal RNA, 253 nt
Filed under: uncultured bacterium
Lineage: Bacteria
Description: partial 16S ribosomal RNA
Rfam family: Bacterial small subunit ribosomal RNA
Source: RNAcentral